This 69-nucleotide transfer RNA is filed under the name Dipodomys ordii (Ord's kangaroo rat). It matches the Rfam family "tRNA". Rfam says of the family: Transfer RNA (tRNA) molecules are approximately 80 nucleotides in length. Their secondary structure includes four short double-helical elements and three loops (D, anti-codon, and T loops). The record is from Rfam by way of RNAcentral. Lineage: Eukaryota; Metazoa; Chordata; Mammalia; Rodentia; Heteromyidae.
GGAAUGUGGCUUAGUGGUAGAGUGCUUGCCUAGCAUGCAUGAAGCCCUGGGUUCCAUUCCUUGGUUCCA